This 253-nucleotide ribosomal RNA is filed under the name uncultured bacterium. Its description in RNAcentral is "partial 16S ribosomal RNA". It matches the Rfam family "Bacterial small subunit ribosomal RNA", at positions 524 to 776 of the family's 1533-position model. The record is from RNAcentral.
UACGAAGGGGGCUAGCGUUGUUCGGAAUUACUGGGCGUAAAGCGCACGUAGGCGGACAUUUAAGUCAGGGGUGAAAUCCCGGGGCUCAACCCCGGAACUGCCUUUGAUACUGGGUGUCUUGAGUGUGGUAGAGGUGAGUGGAAUUGCGAGUGUAGAGGUGAAAUUCGUAGAUAUUCGCAGGAACACCGGUGGCGAAGGCGGCGACCUGGUCCGAUACUGACGCUGAGGCGCGAAAGCGUGGGGAGCAAACAGG